Molecule: ribosomal RNA, 447 nt
Filed under: Triticum aestivum (bread wheat)
Lineage: Eukaryota; Viridiplantae; Streptophyta; Magnoliopsida; Poales; Poaceae
Description: partial small subunit ribosomal RNA
Source: RNAcentral
AUGUCGGCGGCGAGCAGGGGCGUGCGCGCGCUGGCCAUGCUGGGGCGGUGCGUGCGGGCGCCGUUCCGCGCGCUGGUCCGCGCGCGCGACCUCUACGUGAGCCGGAUGGCGGCCUGCGCGGCGGGACGCGGGCCGGUGGGCAUAGCGGCCGUGUCCCGGAGCCGGAGCCACGGGUUCCACUUCCACCACUCGGCGGGCGGCGACGGCGCCGAGGCCGACGUGCGUGAGCUCAUAAGGGCCGCCUCGCACGCCGGGCCGCCCAGCCCCGCCGGCGUCGGGCCGCGGAGCCAGAGCGUGGCCAUCGGGAGGAUCGACGAGGACCGCCCCUGCGAGUUCGGGCUCGACGACGGUGCCGCGGCGCAUGCGCUGGGCCCAAGGAGCAGGAGCUGCGCCGUCGGGUCCACGGCCAAGAUGCCGCGCAGGCUCGGCGCUGUCGCGACCGCUUAA